AGAGUUUGAUCAUGGCUCAGGAUGAACGCUGGCGGCGUGCUUAACACAUGCAAGUCGAUCGGGAAUGUUUCGCUGAUGCGAUUUCGGUCAAAUCUUGAAGCAUUUUAGUGGCGGACGGGUGAGUAACGCGUGGGUAACCUGCCCUGUACAGGGGGACAACAGUUGGAAACGACUGCUAAUACCGCAUAAGCGCACAGCUUCGCAUGAAGCAGUGUGAAAAACUCCGGUGGUACAGGAUGGACCCGCGUCUGAUUAGAUAGUUGGUGAGGUAACGGCCCACCAAGUCAACGAUCAGUAGCCGGCCUGAGAGGGCGAGCGGUCACAUUGGGACUGAGACACGGCCCAAACUCCUACGGGAGGCAGCAGUGGGGAAUAUUGCACAAUGGGGGAAACCCUGAUGCAGCGACGCCGCGUGAAGGAAGAAGUAUCUCGGUAUGUAAACUUCUAUCAGCAGGGAAGAAAAUGACGGUACCUGACUAAGAAGCCCCGGCUAACUACGUGCCAGCAGCCGCGGUAAUACGUAGGGGGCAAGCGUUAUCCGGAUUUACUGGGUGUAAAGGGAGCGUAGACGGAUGGACAAGUCUGAUGUGAAAGGCUGGGGCUCAACCCCGGGACUGCAUUGGAAACUGCCCGUCUUGAGUGCCGGAGAGGUAAGCGGAAUUCCUAGUGUAGCGGUGAAAUGCGUAGAUACUAGGAGGAACACCAGUGGCGAAGGCGGCUUACUGGACGGUAACUGACGUUGAGGCUCGAAAGCGUGGGGAGCAAACAGGAUUAGAUACCCUGGUAGUCCACGCGGUAAACGAUGAAUGCUAGGUGUCGGGGAGCAAAGCUCUUCGGUGCCGCCGCAAACGCAUUAAGCAUUCCACCUGGGGAGUACGUUCGCAAGAAUGAAACUCAAAGGAAUUGACGGGGACCCGCACAGGCGGUGGAGCAUGUGGUUUAAUUCGAAGCAACGCGAAGAACCUUACCAAGUCUUUACAUCCCUCUGACCGACUCUUAACCGAGUCUUUCCUUCGGGACAGAGGAGACAGGUGGUGCAUGGUUGUCGUCAGCUCGUGUCGUGAGAUGUUGGGUUAAGUCCCGCAACGAGCGCAACCCCUAUCCCCAGUAGCCAGCGGUUCGGCCGGGCACUCUGAGGAGACUGCCAGGGAUAACCUGGAGGAAGGCGGGGAUGACGUCAAAUCAUCAUGCCCCUUAUGAUUUGGGCUACACACGUGCUACAAUGGCGUAAACAAAGGGAAGCGAACCUGCGAGGGUGGGCAAAUCCCAAAAAUAACGUCCCAGUUCGGACUGUAGUCUGCAACCCGACUACACGAAGCUGGAAUCGCUAGUAAUCGCGGAUCAGAAUGCCGCGGUGAAUACGUUCCCGGGUCUUGUACACACCGCCCGUCACACCAUGGGAGUCAGUAACGCCCGAAGUCAGUGACCUAACCGCAAGGAAGGAGCUGCCGAAGGCGGGACCGAUGACUGGGGUGAAGUCGUAACAAGGUA
RNAcentral lists this ribosomal RNA (1491 nucleotides) under metagenome. RNAcentral's name for it is "bacterial SSU rRNA". It matches the Rfam family "Bacterial small subunit ribosomal RNA". The record is from RNAcentral.